RNAcentral lists this long non-coding RNA (579 nucleotides) under Mytilus galloprovincialis (Mediterranean mussel). Lineage: Eukaryota; Metazoa; Mollusca; Bivalvia; Mytilida; Mytilidae. The record is from RNAcentral.
UUUGAUAUGUUCCAAACGACCACCAUUUAGGAGAAACAGGGAAAACUAAUCAACUCGCAUUAAGCCAAAUAGUAUGUUAGGGUUGAGUAUUAAUAUAUUUUUACUGUACGUUAAGGCAUAAAAUUGUAGAAUAUUUGCAUUCAGAUUUUUUUUUAUUUACGACUUUAUAUUUCCUGCAAUCAUGUCGGCAGAUGAAAUUAUUGAACGUACAAUUUUGAACAAUCUUCUUUAACUUUUAACCAGCUAUUUCAGUUUUUAUAAACCAUUGGCUUUCAAAUAUUCGGCUUUUGGUGAAUCAUGAUUAAUGAAAAUCCACAAAUACCUGGUGUUUUUAUCGUGUUGUCUUUAUUUUUUAUCGAUUGCAUGACGAUCUUGCGGUAUAACAUUGAUAAUUAUUCUAAGUAUUGGUUCAUAAUAAAAACUUAAUCCAUGGUGUCGUAAUGAACAUUGUGUUAACCUAGAAAGUAUGAAUAAGGUUGAGAUAUUUUACAAUGCUACACGCGUUGAAUUUAAGAGUAAAUUCAAAUACCAGUAGUUUGUAGACAGGAUUAUAGCCAGGAUAAUAUUACAAGGUAGAAC